This 253-nucleotide ribosomal RNA is filed under the name uncultured bacterium. RNAcentral's name for it is "partial 16S ribosomal RNA". It matches the Rfam family "Bacterial small subunit ribosomal RNA", at positions 524 to 776 of the family's 1533-position model. The record is from RNAcentral.
UACGUAGGGUGCGAGCGUUGUCCGGAAUUAUUGGGCGUAAAGGGCUCGUAGGCGGUUUGUCGCGUCGGGAGUGAAAACCAGGUGCUUAACACCUGGCUUGCUUUCGAUACGGGCAGACUAGAGGCAUGCAGGGGAGAACGGAAUUCCUGGUGUAGCGGUGAAAUGCGCAGAUAUCAGGAAGAACACCCGUGGCUAAGGCGGCUCUCUAGUACGGUACUGACGCUGAGACGCGAAAGCGUGGGGAGCGAACAGG